UACGGAGGGUGCAAGCGUUAUCCGGAUUCACUGGGUUUAAAGGGUGCGUAGGCGGGCAGAUAAGUCAGUGGUGAAAUACCUGAGCUUAACUUGGGAACUGCCAUUGAUACUAUUUGUCUUGAAUGUUGUGGAGGUUAGCGGAAUAUGUCAUGUAGCGGUGAAAUGCUUAGAGAUGACAUAGAACACCUAUUGCGAAGGCAGCUAACUACGCAAAUAUUGACACUGAGGCACGAAAGCGUGGGGAUCAAACAGG
RNAcentral lists this ribosomal RNA (253 nucleotides) under uncultured bacterium. Its description in RNAcentral is "partial 16S ribosomal RNA". It matches the Rfam family "Bacterial small subunit ribosomal RNA", at positions 524 to 776 of the family's 1533-position model. The record is from RNAcentral.